Scylla paramamosain (green mud crab) is the source of this 534-nucleotide long non-coding RNA. RefSeq lists it as uncharacterized. Lineage: Eukaryota; Metazoa; Arthropoda; Malacostraca; Decapoda; Portunidae. The record is from RefSeq and is a predicted model, not a curated record. The transcript is spliced from 3 exons.
CGGAGCCUACAGUGACCGCAGAAGCUAGUCAUAAUUCAGUGGGGUGAGGCGACUUUCUAUACCGUCUCUUAAGGACCCCGUGGUGACCUAAUCUGUGCCUGCUGCGGGUUACGAAUGUGGCGGCGCUGACCAAUGCGAGUCCGUCUGUGGUGGCAGGACACUUGGCUGGUGUCAGGGAAAAGAUCCUUCACGUUGACAUUCUCUGGAAGCAAUCACUCACCACAUGCCUGGACUCUCUCUCCCCACUCCCGGACACAGCGAAUGCCGGCUCGUGCUUCAAGGGUGGGGAUGCAGGUGCUGGCUUGACUUUUUAAUGACUUGAGCCACGAGAAGAUUGGUGGGGGGAUGUAGUACCCAGCGAGCAAUAAUGAUUAUGAUUGUGAUGAUGGCUUUACUGUCUCUGUGAUACGACCUGCUUAAAUAGUAUAUUCUCUUUUUCUAGGUGUCAUAAAAGAAAAAAAAAUAGAGUAUAUGAAUUGUCACUUUUUUGUAUGUAGGUGUUACAAAAGAAAAAAAAAAACUAGAGAAUGUAAU